RNAcentral lists this ribosomal RNA (448 nucleotides) under uncultured bacterium. Its description in RNAcentral is "bacterial SSU rRNA". It matches the Rfam family "Bacterial small subunit ribosomal RNA", at positions 355 to 796 of the family's 1533-position model. The record is from RNAcentral.
UCGAGAAUUUUUGACAAUGGGGGAAACCCUGAUCGAGCGACGCCGCGUGGAGGAUGAAGGUCUUCGGGUUGUAAACUCCUGUCAUUUGGGAACAAGGUGCACGUAUUUACUGUACGUGUAUUGAUAGUACCAGAAGAGGAAGAGACGGCUAACUCUGUGCCAGCAGCCGCGGUAAUACAGAGGUCUCAAGCGUUGUUCGGAUUCAUUGGGCGUAAAGGGUGUGUAGGUGGCGCCGUAAGUCGGGUGUGAAAUCUCGGGGCUUAACUCCGAAACUGCAUUCGAUACUGCGGUGCUUGAGGACUGGAGAGGAGACUGGAAUUCAUGGUGUAGCAGUGAAAUGCGUAGAGAUCAUGAGGAAGACCAGUGGCGAAGGCGGGUCUCUGGACAGUUCCUGACACUGAGACACGAAGGCCAGGGGAGCAAACGGGAUUAGAUACCCGCGUAGUCC